RNAcentral lists this transfer RNA (73 nucleotides) under Stegodyphus mimosarum. It matches the Rfam family "tRNA". From Rfam's summary of the family: Transfer RNA (tRNA) molecules are approximately 80 nucleotides in length. Their secondary structure includes four short double-helical elements and three loops (D, anti-codon, and T loops). Lineage: Eukaryota; Metazoa; Arthropoda; Arachnida; Araneae; Eresidae. The record is from Rfam by way of RNAcentral.
GCCUUAGUCGUGUAGUGGUCAGCACGCUCGACACGUAUUCGAGAAGUCCGUGGUUCGAGUCCCGGCAAGGGCA